This 303-nucleotide ribosomal RNA is filed under the name Lacticaseibacillus casei. RNAcentral describes it as "bacterial SSU rRNA". It matches the Rfam family "Bacterial small subunit ribosomal RNA", at positions 28 to 302 of the family's 1533-position model. The record is from RNAcentral. Lineage: Bacteria; Bacillati; Bacillota; Bacilli; Lactobacillales; Lactobacillaceae.
GAUGAACGCUGGCGGCGUGCCUAAUACAUGCAAGUCGAACGAGUUCUUGUUGAUGAUCGGUGCUUGCACCAAGAUUCAACAUGGAACGAGUGGCGGACGGGUGAGUAACACGUGGGUAACCUGCCCUUAAGUGGGGGAUAACAUUUGGAAACAGAUGCUAAUACCGCAUAGAUCCAAGAACCGCAUGGUUCUUGGCUGAAAGAUGGCGUAAGCUAUCGCUUUUGGAUGGACCCGCGGCGUAUUAGCUAGUUGGUGAGGUAAUGGCUCACCAAGGCGAUGAUACGUAGCCGAACUGAGAGGUUG